Molecule: ribosomal RNA, 506 nt
Filed under: uncultured bacterium
Lineage: Bacteria
Description: partial 16S ribosomal RNA
Rfam family: Bacterial small subunit ribosomal RNA
Source: RNAcentral
AGUGAACGCUGGCGGUAGGCCUAACACAUGCAAGUCGAACGGCAGCACAGAAGAGCUUGCUCUCUGGGUGGCGAGUGGCGGACGGGUGAGGAAUACAUCGGAAUCUACUUUUUCGUGGGGGAUAACGUAGGGAAACUUACGCUAAUACCGCAUACGACCUACGGGUGAAAGCAGGGGACCUUCGGGCCUUGCGCGAUUGAAUGAGCCGAUGUCGGAUUAGCUAGUUGGCGGGGUAAAGGCCCACCAAGGCGACGAUCCGUAGCUGGUCUGAGGGGAGGAUCAGCCACACUGGAACUGGGACACGGUCCAGACUCCUACGGGAGGCAGCAGUGGGGAAUAUUGGACAAUGGGCGCAAGCCUGAUCCAGCCAUACCGCGUGGGUGAAGAAGGCCUUCGGGUUGUAAAGCCCUUUUGUUGGGAAAGAAAUCCAGCUGGCUAAUACCCGGUUGGGAUGACGGUACCCAAAGAAUAAGCACCGGCUAACUUCGUGCCAGCAGCCGCCGUAA